Molecule: ribosomal RNA, 327 nt
Filed under: uncultured eukaryote
Lineage: Eukaryota
Description: partial 18S ribosomal RNA
Rfam family: Eukaryotic small subunit ribosomal RNA
Source: RNAcentral
CCCUUAGAUGUUCUGGGCUGCACGCGCGCUACACUGAUGUAUUUAACAAGUAUUGCACCUUGCUUGGAAAGGUUGGGAAAUCUUUUAAACAUGCAUCGUGAUGGGGGUCGGUUAUUGCAAUUAUUAAUCUUUAACGAGGAAUUCCUAGUAAACUUGAGUCAUCAGCUCGUGUUGAUUACGUCCCUGCCCUUUGUACACACCGCCCGUCGCUCCUACCGAUUGAGUGGUCCGGUGAAUAAUUUGGAUUGUAGCAGUAACCAAUUGUUUGGUUGAUGUUUAAACAUAUCUUAUAAACCUUAUCACUUAGAGGAAGGAGAAGUCGUAACA